This 210-nucleotide unclassified non-coding RNA is filed under the name uncultured fungus. RNAcentral describes it as "sequence contains ITS1". The record is from RNAcentral. Lineage: Eukaryota; Fungi.
GUAACGAUUGUUUGUAUCAGAACAGGUAAUGCUAGAUGCAAAAAAAGGUUUUGUUGGUUCCAACGGCAGGUUACCCCGCCGAAGGAGAACGAAAGGUGCUCGUAAAAAAAGGAUUGGAUAUCGCGACGCAACCACCAGGGCAUGAGUACUCCUGGGGCCGCGCCGCCCUUGAUGCCCGUAAUGAUCCUUCCGCAGGUUCACCUACGGAAA